RNAcentral lists this ribosomal RNA (498 nucleotides) under uncultured bacterium. RNAcentral describes it as "bacterial SSU rRNA". It matches the Rfam family "Bacterial small subunit ribosomal RNA", at positions 29 to 518 of the family's 1533-position model. The record is from RNAcentral.
AUGAACGCUAGCGGCAGGCUUAACACAUGCAAGUCGAGGGGCAGCGGGAUGUAGCAAUACAUUGCCGGCGACCGGCGGAUGGGUGCGUAACGCGUAUGCAACCUACCUUAUACAGGGGAAUAACCUUUCGAAAGGGAGACUAACACCCCAUAGUAUUGAUUUAAGGCAUCUUAGAUUAAUUAAAUAUUUAUAGGUAUAAGAUGGGCAUGCGUAUGAUUAGCUAGUUGGUAAGGUAACGGCUUACCAAGGCGACGAUCAUUAGGGGUUCUGAGAGGAAGGUCCCCCACACUGGUACUGAGACACGGACCAGACUCCUACGGGAGGCAGCAGUGAGGAAUAUUGGUCAAUGGGCGCAAGCCUGAACCAGCCAUGCCGCGUGCAGGAAAAGACGGCCUUAUGGGUUGUAAACUGCUUUUACAUAAGACUAACCGUAUAUUUGCGAAUAUACCUGAAUGUAUUAUGAGAAUAAGGAUCGGCUAACUCCGUGCCAGCAGCGGC